Molecule: long non-coding RNA, 1866 nt
Organism: Megalopta genalis
Lineage: Eukaryota; Metazoa; Arthropoda; Insecta; Hymenoptera; Halictidae
Source: RefSeq, a predicted model, not a curated record
GAUACCGUAAAUACCGAGUGGCGGUUUCGACGGGCCGAUAGGGGGUGUAGAGGGACAACUUGUAGCACUUCGCAUAGCUCACACUGUAUACCGGCGGCGACUAUUUAUCUAACUAUACGGUGCACGGAGUUUCGUAUUUCCAACGGUGCAAUCACUCGAUAAGGCGUAUGAAAUACGCCGUACAUACGAAAAGGCGUGUAGUAUCAUUUCCGAGUGUGGAGCGGGAACGUAUCAUUGCGUGCACGAAGAAGAACAGCCGGCAAUUUCUCGGAAUAAAUUGUGGUAGCCGGUGUCUGGAUAUCCCCGCAGCACUUUUCGUCCGCGCGGAGGGUAUUUUCGUGGCAUUCUAACGAUGUGUCACGAGAUCUACGAGGCUGUUUGUCGGUGAGCACAAAAAUAGGUCUCACUCCGCACUCACUUCAUCACUCAAGCGGCCCGCGAUAGCGUCAGCGCGCGCCUUCCCUUCUUCUUGUCGUUAGACACAACGAACGCCCGACGACUGGUUGGCUGAAAAUGUCGGCGACGUCGUGCGUACCAUUAGCUCGGCCGUCACGGUGUUACCGUCGGAUUAACCUUAGCCGAGUGUAGCAUACACGAACGCCCCGGCGGUUUCAUCGGAGCUAUGCGUUUCAGGAACUUUACAGCGGCAAGCCAGUUGCCGGAGAGCUCGGCUAUCCGACUGCUGGAAUGUUCCUUACGAAUAGAUACGCCAUCGGGUGUCAAUUAUGGGACUGCGCGCGUCUACCGGAUGUCCCGAGGGCAAAGAGGAGUGUGCGAUUUAUAUUGGACUCGAUGCUUUAACAACGACGCGAAUCGUCCAGCAAAUUGUCCAGUAGAUUUACCAGAAGUAUAAAGCGCAAGGACAGAAUUUUAGGUACAGCGAUGAUGUCCGGAUCGUCCCCCCUUGCUCUCGACAAGUGGAGCACGACUGUCCUACGGAACAAAUGACCGCAGAAAAGACAUUCCGUGACCGUCCAUCUUCCUCGUUUUUGCUGAAAGACCGUUUUCCUUUGUCUCUUUUUCCUCCUUCCGAGGUACGGACAUUUUCUACGAUCACCGACGUGUUUGUUCAAGCAAUUAAGUUGUUCCUGGAUGAUGACGGCGACGACGACGACGACGCUGUCGAGACUACCCGAACGAUAAUGGCUCCAUUCGUUCGCGGAUAACUUCUUUAAACGCUAAGUUAAAUGGAUUUUAAAAAGCGGUUUAAUCGAGAAGUUCUGGAAUUCGUCUAUUUCGUACCAUGACUCGCGAGGUUCGAAUGCAAGGUGGUACAAAAAGACGCGAUUAGGAUCUGUUUCCCAUCAGAAUUCUGUGGGAAAUAAGAAGAUGGCCGACGCACGCACAUGUGUCUCGUAGACUUCAUUUUUCUCGGAAUUUACGGUAAUCUGAUAAUUAGCUGUGUAUAUCUGUUUCGCAACGCCGUCUCGUGAUUCCCUUUUUUCCCUCUUUGGAUACCCAUUUAUAAAUCGAUCACGAAACAUCACGCAUCAAACGAACUUGUUCGUAGCAUAAACGUCAUAGUUUAAAAUUAUAGAUCUCGAAAACCACGUAAAAUAUUACGUACCGUUAUCGUUACGUCAGGCUGUCCCAUAAUUAUGUUAACAACCGGAAAGGAACGAUUCCUGAAUUCGAAGCAACUUUUUCCUUAGCGAAAAUGCAAUUCGCUGCUUCGUUUACGAGUUAUUAACGAAAUACAGAGGUCAAUGAGUGAUCGCCCCGCCCUCGUGACCAUUGCUGCUGCGUCAGACGGCCAGUGCAAAGCGGCAUUGGCCGAAAGGGCGGAGCCCUGGCCGCGCUCGCUCUCCGAUUGGUCAGCGUUUUUCGUUAAUAACUCGCGAACGAAGCCGCGGAUUGCAUUUUCGC